RNAcentral lists this non-coding RNA (28 nucleotides) under Mus musculus (house mouse). The record is from RNAcentral. Lineage: Eukaryota; Metazoa; Chordata; Mammalia; Rodentia; Muridae.
CAAACUCUCACAGAGGUCAAGAGAUGCA